RNAcentral lists this ribosomal RNA (253 nucleotides) under uncultured bacterium. Its description in RNAcentral is "partial 16S ribosomal RNA". It matches the Rfam family "Bacterial small subunit ribosomal RNA", at positions 524 to 776 of the family's 1533-position model. The record is from RNAcentral.
UACGUAGGGUGCGAGCGUUAAUCGGAAUUACUGGGCGUAAAGCGUGCGCAGGCGGUUUUGUAAGCCGGAUGUGAAAUCCCCGGGCUUAACCUGGGAAUGGCAUUCGGGACUGCAAGGCUGGAGUGCGGCAGAGGAGACUGGAAUUCCUGGUGUAGCAGUGAAAUGCGUAGAUAUCAGGAAGAACACCCGUGGCGAAAGCGGCUCUCUGGAACGGUACUGACGCUGAGACGCGAAAGCGUGGGGAGCGAACAGG